UACAGAGGUCCCAAGCGUUGUCGGAUUCAUUGGGCGUAAAGGGUGCGUAGGCGGCGCGGUAAGUCGGGUGUGAAAUCUCGGAGCUUAACUCCGAAACUGCAUUCGAUACUGCCGUGCUUGAGGACUGGAGAGGAGACUGGAAUUUACGGUGUAGCGGUGAAAUGCGUAGAUAUCGUAAGGAAGACCAGUGGCGAAGGCGGGUCUCUGGACAGUUCCUGACGCUGAGGCACGAAGGCCAGGGGAGCAAACGGG
RNAcentral lists this ribosomal RNA (252 nucleotides) under uncultured bacterium. RNAcentral describes it as "partial 16S ribosomal RNA". It matches the Rfam family "Bacterial small subunit ribosomal RNA", at positions 524 to 776 of the family's 1533-position model. The record is from RNAcentral.